RNAcentral lists this ribosomal RNA (995 nucleotides) under uncultured bacterium. RNAcentral describes it as "bacterial SSU rRNA". It matches the Rfam family "Bacterial small subunit ribosomal RNA", at positions 356 to 1376 of the family's 1533-position model. The record is from RNAcentral.
GGGGAAUAUUGCACAAUGGGGGAAACCCUGAUGCAGCGACGCCGCGUGGAGGAAGAAGGUCUUCGGAUUGUAAACUCCUGUUGUUGGGGAAGAUAAUGACGGUACCCAACAAGGAAGUGACGGCUAACUACGUGCCAGCAGCCGCGGUAAAACGUAGGUCACAAGCGUUGUCCGGAAUUACUGGGUGUAAAGGGAGCGCAGGCGGGAAGACAAGUUGGAAGUGAAAUCUAUGGGCUCAACCCAUAAACUGCUUUCAAAACUGUUUUUCUUGAGUAGUGCAGAGGUAGGCGGAAUUCCCGGUGUAGCGGUGGAAUGCGUAGAUAUCGGGAGGAACACCAGUGGCGAAGGCGGCCUACUGGGCACCAACUGACGCUGAGGCUCGAAAGUGUGGGUAGCAAACAGGAUUAGAUACCCUGGUAGUCCACACCGUAAACGAUGAUUACUAGGUGUUGGAGGAUUGACCCCUUCAGUGCCGCAGUUAACACAAUAAGUAAUCCACCUGGGGAGUACGACCGCAAGGUUGAAACUCAAAGGAAUUGACGGGGGCCCGCACAAGCAGUGGAGUAUGUGGUUUAAUUCGACGCAACGCGAAGAACCUUACCAAGUCUUGACAUCCCUUGACAGGCAUAGAAAUAUGUUUUCUCUUCGGAGCAAGGAGACAGGUGGUGCAUGGUUGUCGUCAGCUCGUGUCGUGAGAUGUUGGGUUAAGUCCCGCAACGAGCGCAACCCUUAUGGUCAGUUACUACGCAAGAGGACUCUGGCCAGACUGCCGUUGACAAAACGGAGGAAGGUGGGGAUGACGUCAAAUCAUCAUGCCCUUUAUGACUUGGGCUACACACGUACUACAAUGGCGUUAAACAAAGAGAAGCAAGACCGCGAGGUGGAGCAAAACUCAGAAACAACGUCCCAGUUCGGACUGCAGGCUGCAACUCGCCUGCACGAAGUCGGAAUCGCUAGUAAUCGCGGAUCAGCAUGCCGCGGUGAAUACGUUCCCG